Molecule: ribosomal RNA, 520 nt
Filed under: uncultured Glomus
Lineage: Eukaryota; Fungi; Glomeromycota; Glomeromycetes; Glomerales; Glomeraceae
Description: SSU rRNA
Rfam family: Eukaryotic small subunit ribosomal RNA
Source: RNAcentral
AGCAGCCGCGGUAAUUCCAGCUCCAAUAGCGUAUAUUAAAGUUGUUGCAGUUAAAAAGCUCGUAGUUGAAUUUCGGGGUUAGUAGGUUGGUCAUGCCUCUGGUGUGUACUGGUCUCACUGAUUCCUCCUUCCUGAUGAGCCGUAAUGCCAUUAAUUUGGUGUUGCGGGGAAUUUGGACUGUUACUUUGAAAAAAUUAGAGUGUUUAAAGCAGGCUCACGCUUGAAUACAUUAGCAUGGAAUAAUGAAAUAGGACGUUUGAUUCUAUUUUGUUGGUUUCUAGGAUCGACGUAAUGAUUAAUAGGGAUAGUUGGGGGCAUUAGUAUUCAAUUGUCAGAGGUGAAAUUCUUGGAUUUAUUGAAGACUAACUACUGCGAAAGCAUUUGCCAAGGAUGUUUUCAUUAAUCAAGAACGAAAGUUAGGGGAUCGAAGACGAUCAGAUACCGUCGUAGUCUUAACCAUAAACUAUGCCGACUAGGGAUCGGAUGAUGUUAAUUUUUAAUGUACUCAUUCGGCGCCUUA